GAGUUUGAUCGUGGCUCAGAACGAACGCUGGCGGCAGGCUUAACACAUGCAAGUCGAACGCCCCGCAAGGGGAGUGGCGCACGGGUGAGUAACGCGUGGGAAUAUGCCCUUUGGUUCGGAAUAACACAGGGAAACUUGUGCUAAUACCGGAUAAGAUCUACGGAUGAAAGAUUCAUCGCCGAAGGAGUAGCCCGCGUAGGAUUAGCUAGUUGGUGAGGUAAUGGCUCACCAAGGCGACGAUCCUUAGCUGGUCUGAGAGGAUGAUCAGCCACACUGGGACUGAGACACGGCCCAGACUCCUACGGGAGGCAGCAGUGGGGAAUAUUGGACAAUGGGGGAAACCCUGAUCCAGCCAUGCCGCGUGAGUGAUGAAGGCCUUAGGGUUGUAAAGCUCUUUCGUCGGGGAAGAUAAUGACGGUACCCGAAGAAGAAGCCUCGGCUAACUCCGUGCCAGCCGCCGCCGUAAC
RNAcentral lists this ribosomal RNA (467 nucleotides) under uncultured Alphaproteobacteria bacterium. RNAcentral describes it as "bacterial SSU rRNA". It matches the Rfam family "Bacterial small subunit ribosomal RNA", at positions 9 to 524 of the family's 1533-position model. The record is from RNAcentral. Lineage: Bacteria; Pseudomonadati; Pseudomonadota; Alphaproteobacteria.